GACGAACGCUGGCGGCGUGCUUAACACAUGCAAGUCGAACGGAAAGGCCCGGCUUUUGUGGGGUGCUCGAUUGGCGAACGGGUGAGUAACACGUGAGUAACCUGCCCUUGACUUUGGGAUAACUUCAGGGAACUGGGGCUAAUACCGGGUAUGAUCUCCUGCUGCACGUUGUGGGUUGGAAAGUUUCGGCGUUUGUGGAUGGUCUCGCGGCUUAUCAGCUUGUUGGUGGGGUAGUGGCUUUCCAAGGGUUUGACGGGUAGCCGGCCUGGGAGGGUGACCGGCCACAUUGCGCCUGCGAGACGGAGCAGUAUCCUACGGGCGGCAGCAGUGGGGAAUAUUGCACAAUGGCCCGAAGCCUGAUGCAGAAACGCCGCGUGCGGGAUGACGGCCUUCGGGUUGUAAACCACUUUCGCCUGUGACGAAGAGUGAGUGACGGUAAUGGGUAAAGAAGCAACGGCUAACUACGUG
RNAcentral lists this ribosomal RNA (468 nucleotides) under uncultured bacterium. Its description in RNAcentral is "partial 16S ribosomal RNA". It matches the Rfam family "Bacterial small subunit ribosomal RNA", at positions 28 to 507 of the family's 1533-position model. The record is from RNAcentral.